RNAcentral lists this long non-coding RNA (201 nucleotides) under Actinidia chinensis (golden kiwifruit). RNAcentral's name for it is "long non-coding RNA (ACHI_LNC001124)". The record is from RNAcentral. Lineage: Eukaryota; Viridiplantae; Streptophyta; Magnoliopsida; Ericales; Actinidiaceae.
UGGGGGACUCUUGUGAGGUGUAGGUGUGGGAGUUCGAUUUUAAUUUUUUUUUUAUGGGGUAUGCCCGUUGUAUUGUGUAUUGGUUUCCAAGAGAUUUUCUCUUUGUUUUGCUUUUGUCUUGUUUAUUGCUGUAGAUAUUAUUUAGGUUUAGUGAGGUAACUGAGUUUUUUGGUUGUGUAUUGAAAUUUCGGUAAGUGUGAU